AACGACGCUGGCGGCAGGCCUAACACAUGCAAGUCGAGCGAGGACUUCGGUCCUAGCGGCGGACGGGUGAGUAACGCGUGGGAACGUGCCCUUUGCUUCGGAAUAGCCCUGGGAAACUGGGAGUAAUACCGGAUGAGCCCUUUGGGGGAAAGAUUUAUCGGCGAAGGAUCGGCCCGCGUUGGAUUAGGUAGUUGGUGGGGUAAUGGCCUACCAAGCCGACGAUCCAUAGCUGGUUUGAGAGGAUGAUCAGCCACACUGGGACUGAGACACGGCCCAGACUCCUACGGGAGGCAGCAGUGGGGAAUCUUAGACAAUGGGGGAAACCCUGAUCUAGCCAUGCCGCGUGAGCGAUGAAGGCCUUAGGGUUGUAAAGCUCUUUCAGCUGGGAAGAUAAUGACGGUACCAGCAGAAGAAGCCCCGGCUAACUCCGUG
Molecule: ribosomal RNA, 432 nt
Filed under: uncultured bacterium
Lineage: Bacteria
Description: partial 16S ribosomal RNA
Rfam family: Bacterial small subunit ribosomal RNA
Source: RNAcentral